AUUUACUAGUUAUUAGUCUAUAGAACCCAACAGCCAAGCGGCUGGGUUUCUUUUGGGUAAUCCAACAGAUCUUUCAUUAUUAUUUUAGUUUUUUUAUUUUUUAAUAUUUUUGUUCUAAUCCUUUCUGGUUUAUAUACUCAAAUGGUUGUUAUAAAUAAUAACUAGUCAUAAGUGGUCUGGUGGAGAGGGGUGGUUUCUAUGGUUUUUGGUGGAGUGGGUUCGAUACCUAUGCGUAGUAUUUUUACUUCUUUUAACAUUUUCUUUUAUGUUUAUGCUUUAUUAUAUUCAUAGUUUCAUUAUCCUAAC
RNAcentral lists this long non-coding RNA (306 nucleotides) under Lathyrus oleraceus (garden pea). RNAcentral's name for it is "Pisum sativum (pea) long non-coding RNA (PSAT_LNC040733)". Lineage: Eukaryota; Viridiplantae; Streptophyta; Magnoliopsida; Fabales; Fabaceae. The record is from RNAcentral.